AGUGAACGCUGGCGGUAUGCCUAAUACAUGCAAGUCGAACGCCAGCACAGUAAGUUCUUUCUCUUACGGGUUGCGAGUGGCGGAAGGGUCAGGUAUACAUCGGAAUCUACUUCUUCGUGGGAGAUUUCGUAGGGAAACCUACGCUAACAUCGCAUACGAUCUACGGGUGAAUGCACGGGAUCUUCGCACUUUGCGCGCUUCAAUGUGCAGAUGUGUUAUUUGAUCGUUGGCGGGGUAAAGGCCCACCACGACGCCACUCCGUAGCUGGUCCCUGAGGAUGUUCGGCAACACUGGAACUGGGACACGGUCCAGACUCCUACGGGAGGCAGCAGAGGGGAAUAUUGGACAAGGGGCGCAAGCCGGACCCAGCCAUACCGCGUGGGUGAGGAAGGUCUUCGGGUGGUAAAGCCCUUUUGUUGGGAAAGAAAAGCAGCAGAGUAAAACCCCCCUGUUCUGACGGUACCCAAAGAAUAAGCACCGGCUAACUUCGUG
Molecule: ribosomal RNA, 492 nt
Filed under: uncultured bacterium
Lineage: Bacteria
Description: partial 16S ribosomal RNA
Rfam family: Bacterial small subunit ribosomal RNA
Source: RNAcentral